Molecule: ribosomal RNA, 195 nt
Filed under: Pseudomonas sp. ISL-84
Lineage: Bacteria; Pseudomonadati; Pseudomonadota; Gammaproteobacteria; Pseudomonadales; Pseudomonadaceae
Description: partial 16S ribosomal RNA
Rfam family: Bacterial small subunit ribosomal RNA
Source: RNAcentral
UAUAUGGAGAGUUUGAUCCUGGCUCAGGACGAACGCUGGCGGCGUGCCUAAUACAUGCAAGUCGAGCGGACGGAUGGGAGCUUGCUCCCUGAAGUCAGCGGCGGACGGGUGAGUAACACGUGGGCAACCUGCCUGUAAGACUGGGAUAACUUCGGGAAACCGGAGCUAAUACCGGAUAAUUCUUUCCCUCACAUG